RNAcentral lists this non-coding RNA (67 nucleotides) under Sus scrofa (pig). The record is from RNAcentral. Lineage: Eukaryota; Metazoa; Chordata; Mammalia; Artiodactyla; Suidae.
CGGCGCUCCCCCCCGCGGGGGCGCUUCCCCGCCAGGGGGGGUGUCCCUCGCGGGGGCGCGCCGGGUU